GCGGGGGUGCCGGAGCGGUCAAACGGGCUGGGCUUAGGACCCAGUAGCUUAGUGCUUACGCAGGUUCAAAUCCUGUCCCCCGCA
This 84-nucleotide transfer RNA is filed under the name Candidatus Woesearchaeota archaeon. RNAcentral describes it as "tRNA-Leu". It matches the Rfam family "tRNA". From Rfam's summary of the family: Transfer RNA (tRNA) molecules are approximately 80 nucleotides in length. Their secondary structure includes four short double-helical elements and three loops (D, anti-codon, and T loops). The record is from RNAcentral. Lineage: Archaea; Nanobdellati; Candidatus Woesearchaeota.